Molecule: transfer RNA, 62 nt
Filed under: Limnometra pulchra
Lineage: Eukaryota; Metazoa; Arthropoda; Insecta; Hemiptera; Gerridae
Description: tRNA-Leu
Source: RNAcentral
UAUGGCAGAAAAUAAUGCAAUGAACUUAAGAUUCAUUUAUAAAGAACUAUCUUUUAUUAGAA